This 1700-nucleotide long non-coding RNA is filed under the name Callithrix jacchus (white-tufted-ear marmoset). Its description in RNAcentral is "lncRNA (ENSCJAG00000074507.1)". The record is from RNAcentral. Lineage: Eukaryota; Metazoa; Chordata; Mammalia; Primates; Cebidae.
CUAAAUAUACAAACCUAUAUGAAAGAAUUAUUUAGAAUUAGAGAGUGUCAUGCUGAGUGAUGUGUAGAAUGCAUCUUAGAGGAUUUUAAUAACAAUAUUUUUUUGUGGGGAAGGUACAAGGAAUCAUCUCUGGACAUGUCAUAGAAAACUUCCCAUUACUGGGGAUGGAGGCAGCAGACCACCAUGGCAUGUGAAUACCUAUGUAACAAUCCUGCACAAACUGCACAUGUACCCCACAACUUAAACUAUAAUAAAAAAAGAGAAACUACCCAUUACUAUGUUUUACUGUAAGAUUCUUUCAAAAUCACCUUUUUAAUUUGUCCCACUUUGGUUGCUUAAGUUUUCCUCACUGUAUUUGUCAUCAUUAAUGUUUAUAAUUCAUUUUGUCUCAUUAGGAAACAGCUCCAGGAGAUGGAAAACCAGCUGCCUUCAUCAGAAACUCACAGGUGGCAUUUCUAUGGGGAGUCAACACAAGCAUUGGCUGGAAAGCCGAUACCUACAAGAUGGCACUUGGACAUGCUGAAGGAAGGAGCCUCAAGGUCUCUCUGUCCUCCCCACCCGGCUGUCUUUCCCUAAACCUUUAUCUCCCUGAGAUCCAGACCCAAGAGAAACAAUUGUUUCUCCUUUCCCUCCCUGUAAGACCAAGAAGUAACCACACCUGAACAGGCUUUUUCACAAGAUAAUGUACCAGUUAAUCUUUGUUGCCUGAUCCAUUCAUCCACCUUGGUGUUGGGGGAGACAGGGGAAAAGAGAAAGAGAAUGAUGAAUGAGACCCAGUCCUUGCCCUGGAAGGGCAAACAGUAGCUCUUCCACAGAGUGAUCCUCAACGGAUGGCUCUUCUCUCUGCUCCCAUAACCUGUUUUGCCAGGAUGGUAUAUAGGCUUCUGAACCCCGCUGGGAGGUGGACAGUCACUCUCUGAUUCUCCUCGUGUAUACACAGUGAAUAAAUUUGUAUGCCCUGCUAUUAAUCUGCAUCUUGUCAGUGGUUUUUCAGCGACUCUUCGGGAAGGCCACAGGGAACAUAUCCCUUGGCUCUUACACUAAUGUGUUGUAUUUCUCCAAAUAUAUGUGAGAUUAUUUUUGGCCAGAACUCAAGCUUCUGCUUCUUGAAUGUCCCACUCAGCUGAGAAGCAAAAUACAUAGUUGAUGUUUAAUACCUAUUUCAUCAUUAAUCACUGUAUAUGUAUAUUCCCUAAGUAUAAUGCUGAUGGACAAUCCAACCCAGACUCUGCCCUUUUGAUUUGUGGGAAGAUUGUGUCCCCAAGAAUGUUUUAUUUUGCCACUGAGAAGUGAAUUCCAGGAGAAUCAAAGUAGUUUGAAAAAGGGGGAAAUGGCAGACCUUUCUUAAAACUGUCUGGAAGCUGCCAGAAUCGUAGGCUAUCAGGGCUAGAAAAGACUUGGGAAUCAUCUGGUCCAUCCUCAUUUUACAGUGAAGGCCCAAAGACUUCCUUAAAGAUACAGCAAGGUGCCAAGCUGGGACUCCUAACCAAACUCUUUUCAUUAUUUUUCAUAACUUCUCUGAUUUCUCCAGAGUCAACUUUCCUCACAAUCUGAAUGAAAGCCCUCUCCCCAGAGGCUGUUUGGGCUGCCGGGAAUCUACGGGAAUCCGUGCAUCUACUUCUUACCAAGGUCGCUCUGCAGAGUUACUGCCAGGGGCCAGGUGGCCUGGCACGAGAUCUGAGAUUCGGCAUCCUUUGCCG